Molecule: ribosomal RNA, 253 nt
Filed under: uncultured bacterium
Lineage: Bacteria
Description: partial 16S ribosomal RNA
Rfam family: Bacterial small subunit ribosomal RNA
Source: RNAcentral
GACAGAGGAUGCAAGCGUUAUUCGGAUUUAUUGGGCGUAAAGCGUCUGUAGGUGGCUUUUCAAGUCCGCCGUCAAAUCCCAGGGCUCAACCCUGGACAGGCGGUGGAAACUACCAAGCUGGAGUACGGUAGGGGCAGAGGGAAUUUCCGGUGGAGCGGUGAAAUGCAUUGAGAUCGGGAAGAACACCAACGGCGAAAGCACUCUGCUGGGCCGACACUGACACUGAGAGACGAAAGCUAGGGGAGCAAAUGGG